This 654-nucleotide long non-coding RNA is filed under the name Mus musculus (house mouse). RNAcentral's name for it is "long non-coding RNA chr2:157324547-157325201". Lineage: Eukaryota; Metazoa; Chordata; Mammalia; Rodentia; Muridae. The record is from RNAcentral.
GUCUUUUGUUCUUUUGUUCUUUACUCUGAUCCCUCCUGCUAGCCAAGUCUGGUCGGUCGGUCGUUAGAGCCUUUGGGACUUGGGCCGGGGACCCCAUGAGCUGGCUCAGUGCUACUGACUAAGGGCACAAGCUGGUUUGAACGAGUAUAAUGGAGUCUUUCCGUUGUUGGCCAAGGUCUGGGGUUUUGAGUUCUGCUGCCACAUUUCAUACCCUUGCUGUCCUUCCAGCCUGGACACUGUCAGGCACAAGUUUAAUGUGAGGAAAUUGUGAGCACCGGUAAAGAUUUAAAGGCACGUCCUGGUCUGUACGCUCUAGCGCCGUGCCUGCAUGCCCUCCUGAGGACUGCUUUAUCAGUUGGGUUGAAGCCUGCCAUUCUGUGAGACUGGUAGGAUCUUCCCAGUCCUUACUGGGGCCCGCCCGCCGCCUGCUGAGGCCAUGCUCUGGUGUGCCUGCUGCUUGCUUGCCACUCGUCCCUGUUGCUCUCCAUUCGGUUACAUUCCCCUCUCCUGCCUCCACAGCACUUCCCACAGGGACUGGUGGGAAGAAAAUGGCCGAGAGAUUCUCAUCUGAGUAGUGCACUAUCCCAGCACUCAAGAGACUGAGGCAGGAAGAUCAUAAGUUUGGGGCCAGCCUGAGCUACAUAACAAAACCCU